AGUGAACGCUGGCGGUAGGCCUAACACAUGCAAGUCGAACGGCAGCACAGUAAGAGCUUGCUCUUACGGGUGGCGAGUGGCGGACGGGUGAGGAAUACAUCGGAAUCUACUUUUUCGUGGGGGAUAACGUAGGGAAACUUACGCUAAUACCGCAUACGUCCUACGGGUGAAAGCAGGGGAUCUUCGGACCUUGCGCGAUUGAAUGAGCCGAUGUCGGAUUAGCUAGUUGGCGGGGUAAAGGCCCACCAAGGCGACGAUCCGUAGCUGGUCUGAGAGGAUGAUCAGCCACACUGGAACUGAGACACGGUCCAGACUCCUUCGGGAGGCAGCAGUGGGGAAUAUUGGACAAUGGGCGCAAGCCUGAUCCAGCCAUACCGCGUGGGUGAAGAAGGCCUUCGGGUUGUAAAGCCCUUUUGUUGGGAAAGAAAAGCAGCAGGUUAAUACCCCGCUGUUCUGACGGUACCCAAAGAAUAAGCACCGGCUAACUUCGUG
This 492-nucleotide ribosomal RNA is filed under the name uncultured bacterium. RNAcentral's name for it is "partial 16S ribosomal RNA". It matches the Rfam family "Bacterial small subunit ribosomal RNA", at positions 29 to 507 of the family's 1533-position model. The record is from RNAcentral.